AUUUUGAAACCCUUAGACUCGAGAGUCUGUCUCCAUACCUCUAGCCUCUCAUUAACACCGACCCUCAUCUCGUCUAUCAAGAUUAUGUCAUCAGCAAAUAGCAUACACCUAGGCACAUUCCCUUGAAUAUGUCGAUCCUUGAUGGAGCCCCAUAACCACCGGAAAAUGGUCUGAUUCGCCACUCACCGUCCUAACGCUAGUCUUAGCUCCAUCGUACAUGUCCUUGAUUACUCUGAUGCAGGCUUCCGGCACGCUCUUCGCCUCCAAGCACCUCCAUAGUACCUCCCUUGGGACCUUGUCAUACGCAUUCUCCAAGUCGAUAAGCACCAUGUGCAGGUCCUUCUUCUUAUCCCUGAACUGCUCCACCAGCCUCUGACAAGG
Molecule: long non-coding RNA, 381 nt
Filed under: Nicotiana benthamiana
Lineage: Eukaryota; Viridiplantae; Streptophyta; Magnoliopsida; Solanales; Solanaceae
Description: long non-coding RNA (NBEN_LNC010802)
Source: RNAcentral